RNAcentral lists this transfer RNA (57 nucleotides) under Larinioides sclopetarius. RNAcentral describes it as "tRNA-Leu". Lineage: Eukaryota; Metazoa; Arthropoda; Arachnida; Araneae; Araneidae. The record is from RNAcentral.
AUUUCUUAUGGCAGAUAAAUGCGUUAGAUUUAGAAUCUAUUUAUUCAAAUUUCCUCA